This 274-nucleotide small RNA is filed under the name Vigna angularis var. angularis. RNAcentral describes it as "Non-protein coding transcript". The record is from RNAcentral. Lineage: Eukaryota; Viridiplantae; Streptophyta; Magnoliopsida; Fabales; Fabaceae.
UUUUCCUAUCACUGCAUAUGAUAUCCCACCCCAUGUGUUUUGUCGUGUUCUUGAUGUCAAGCUCCAUGCAGAGGAAGGGAGCGAUGAAGUAUAUUGCCAAGUGUUGUUGGUUCCUGAAAGUGAGGUGAGGUUUCUUUAUGAUGUUGAUUUUACUUAGGUGUAGUUUGGAUCUGGGAAGCUUGCAGAAAGAAAGGCAUCUCAAGCUGUCCUAGUCUUUCGGAUGAGAUGAAAUAUGACUAAGCAAGCUAGUUAUGAUGAUUUUGUUUGAUUGAGC